This 468-nucleotide ribosomal RNA is filed under the name uncultured bacterium. RNAcentral's name for it is "partial 16S ribosomal RNA". It matches the Rfam family "Bacterial small subunit ribosomal RNA", at positions 28 to 507 of the family's 1533-position model. The record is from RNAcentral.
GACGAACGCUGGCGGUGUGCUUAACACAUGCAAGUCGAACGGAAAGUCCCUGCUUUUGUUGGGUGCUCGAGUGGCGAACGGUUGAGUACCACGUUAGUAACCUGCCCUUGACUUUGGGAUAACUUCAGGUAACUAGUGCUACUACCGGAUAGGAGCUCCUUCGGCAUGGUGUGGGUUGGAAAGUUUCGGCGGUUGGGGAUGGACUCGCGCCUUCUCAGCUUGUUGUCGGGGUAUUGGCUUACCAAGCCGUUGACAGGUAGCCGGCGUGAGAGGGUGACCGGAGACAUAGGGAGUGAGAGACGGCGCAGACUCUUAUGGGAGGCAGAAGUGGGGAAUAUUGCACGAAGGGCGGAAGACUGAUGCAGCAACGCAGCGUGCGAGAGGACGGGCUUCGGGUGGUAAAAAGCUUUCGCCUGUGACGAAGAGUGAGUGACGGUAAUGGGUAAAGAAGCACCGGCUAACUACGUG